Molecule: small nuclear RNA, 107 nt
Filed under: Physeter macrocephalus (sperm whale)
Lineage: Eukaryota; Metazoa; Chordata; Mammalia; Artiodactyla; Physeteridae
Source: RNAcentral
GUGCUUGCUUCAGCAGCACAUAUACUAAAAUUGGAAUGAUACAGAGAAGAUUAGCACGGCCCCUGCGUGAGGAUGACAUGCAAAUUCGUGAAGGGUUCCAUAUUUUU